This is a long non-coding RNA of Zalophus californianus (California sea lion), 1897 nucleotides long. NCBI's taxonomy places the organism in Eukaryota, Metazoa, Chordata, Mammalia, Carnivora, Otariidae. The record is from Ensembl.
AGGGGAGCAGCCCAGCAUCUGUGAACACCUCUGUUACCUGUGUCGAGCAUGGAACAGGUAACCUUCUGUAGGCAUCAUUUUGAUUUCUUGGUACUAUUGUUAAAGGUGCUUUUGUCUCAAGUUCCUCCCUUUAGUAGUAAUUAUAAUGGUAAUGGAAAUUUUUAUCUUUUACCAUCCAUGGGCCUGGAUCCUGAGCUCCCAGGGAAGCUAUCCUUUAACAUUUUACCAAGCUCAAAAUGACUGGGCAAAACCUCAGAGCAUGGACCCUCUUUCUGCCCCAGGCACAUAUUGUAGAUCUGCUUCAAGAAGAAAAAGAUAACCCAACGAUGCCAUUGCAAACAUAAAGUUAAGAAAAACAAAACAACCUCUCUGGCUCCCAUAAGAUUAAAGUCAUACCGAUUUGCACAUACUGAAAACAUAAGAAAAAGUCUGUAACUCUCUGGAAUGUUCUUCCUUAUGGUGAUGUGUAACUCUGUAUGUAAAACAAGACAACAAAUAUAUAAACCUGCCCCAAAUGUUCCUUCCCCGGAGCACUCCCUUCUUUGUGAAGAUUGUCUCCCAGGCUGCUGUCCUGACUUGGGUUUGAAUAAAACUCUCUUCCUUUCUCUCUAAACUGUUUAAAAGGGUUUGUUCAUUCAGUGUCGACAAUAACAAUAUGUUUUCUUUUUAAGUGAAAAAUAAAUGUUCCUGGUUCCCAACUCCAACGGCACAGAAGGGCGGCUCGUCCUCAUCCUGGAGGCUUCCCUGCAGAACCAAGCAUACAUAUAUAUAUUCCAUCAUGAACGGGCUCAUCCUACAAGGAUGCUUUGAAGGUCCAAGAAGCACUAUCCACUCCCUGGUCUCUUCUGCCUGAUGUCCAUCAACUGGCUGUAUCCCCCAGAACAACCUCUUCUGCCUGAUGUCCAUCAACUGGCUGUAUCCUCCAGGGCACCUGCUCACCCCAGAAGUCAAUGGAUGACAUGGAGAGGUGGCUGGUGGACACACCCUCCAUCUCCUGGACAGAGGGGUUGACCCCACAGGGGUCCCUAGGAGCAGGUGCUGGGGAUUGCCAAAGAAGGCCUCCGACACCACCCAGACCACUGUCCCAGGUGGUUGUCCACCGGACAGUGGUCCAGGAGCUGGAGCCCACAGAGGCCGAGCCCGAGGCUGCUCCACCACCUGAGGAGCUAGAGCCGGCUCCAACUCCAUCAACUCUGGAGGGAAGAGGGAGUGACUGCAGCGACUUCAGGAGGAGACCAGGAGCCGGCAGGUGACCCGGCACCCGCCCACGGAGAGCCUGACGCAAACCAGGAAGAACAGGCACCUGCUCCUGCCCCAGCCCCUGCCCCUGCUACAGUUCCUGCCGCUCCCCUGCCCCUGUCCAUACUCCUGCUAGAGCCGCUGCCCCUUCCCCCGCCCCUGCCCGUGCUCCCCUUCCUGCCCCUGACCCAGGUCUUGCCCUGGAUCCUGCACCUGCCACUACUGCUGAUCCUGUCCCUCCCCUUGCCCCUGGCCCUGCUCUUACAUCUGUCCCUGCCCCUGUCCCUGCCCCUGUCCUAACCCCUGCCCCUACUCCUGCUCCUGCAAGGAUCCCACAACCACAUCCAGAGCCCACAGCCCUGCAGGGAGAGCUCCUUGUACAAUUACCCUUAGUUCCAUCACCGGACCCCGACGCCCCGCCAGAUUGUUUCGUCCCCUCCCCCUAUGUUCUUUCUCUCUGGUUCAUAUUAACUGUUAUCUUUUCAUGUUCUGUAUACUGUUUAUUAUUUGUUUUAAAUAAAAUUACUUGUUUUCAAUUGAACACGUCAUGAGCAUUAAGUACACUCCCAACGCUGUGCCACCACACCCCAGAACAUUGCUGCAGAAUAUCUCCUUCCCCAAAGGAGUCCCCGAACCAGAAGCCCUCCCUGCCCAUUUC